UGGGGAAUCUUGGACAAUGGGGGCAACCCUGAUCCAGCCAUGCCGCGUGAGUGAUGAAGGCCUUAGGGUCGUAAAGCUCUUUCGCCUGUGAAGAUAAUGACGGUAGCAGGUAAAGAAACCCCGGCUAACUCCGUGCCAGCAGCCGCGGUAAUACGGAGGGGGUUAGCGUUGUUCGGAAUUACUGGGCGUAAAGCGCACGUAGGCGGACCAGAAAGUUGGGGGUGAAAUCCCGGGGGCUCAACCCCGGAACUGCCUCCAAAACUAUUGGUCUAGAGUUCGAGAGAGGUGAGUGGAAUUCCAAGUGUAGAGGUGAAAUUCGUAGAUAUUUGGAGGAACACCAGUGGCGAAGGCGGCUCACUGGCUCGAUACUGACGCUGAGGUGCGAAAGUGUGGGGAGCAAACAGGAUUAGAUACCCUGGGUAGUCCACACCGUAAAACGAUGAAUGCCAGUCGUCGGGUAGCAUGCUAUUCGGUGACACACCUAACGGAUUAAGCAUUCCGCCUGGGGAGUACGGUCGCAAGAUUAAAA
Molecule: ribosomal RNA, 529 nt
Filed under: uncultured bacterium
Lineage: Bacteria
Description: bacterial SSU rRNA
Rfam family: Bacterial small subunit ribosomal RNA
Source: RNAcentral